AAAGUCUGGCAUCUGUGUUUUCGCCCACUAAGGUUUUCUGAAUCUAAAUGAAAUUACUGAUGAGUAUGAACUCACCUGAAUAUUGUUCAUCCUUGAAGCUGCUCCCUCGCCAGAAGGACCUGUAGUUGACAACUGAGAUUAUGCUGUAUUAUGUUGUCAUGGAGAUCGGAAUUAUGAUAUCUUUCAGGCAGAGGGUUCACAAUCCAAGCAAGGCCCUGAGUUGCCCCUUUUAAUCCCAACUUGUUACACUGGUGAUAUGGGAUCCAAUGAUGUGCAACAAAAGGAAAAAAAAUAGCUCUGCAAACAAGCUUUGCAACUCGGUUAUCUGAAUCCCUGAAAAAUAAGCUGUGCAACUGUGCAAGCUGAUGGGUGGAUUCGGCACA
This is a long non-coding RNA of Lolium rigidum, 383 nucleotides long. RefSeq lists it as uncharacterized. The record is from RefSeq and is a predicted model, not a curated record. The transcript is spliced from 3 exons. NCBI's taxonomy places the organism in Eukaryota, Viridiplantae, Streptophyta, Magnoliopsida, Poales, Poaceae.